RNAcentral lists this ribosomal RNA (297 nucleotides) under Triticum aestivum (bread wheat). RNAcentral's name for it is "partial small subunit ribosomal RNA". The record is from RNAcentral. Lineage: Eukaryota; Viridiplantae; Streptophyta; Magnoliopsida; Poales; Poaceae.
AUGUGUGUUCUGAAGGAAAGGGGUGGCAUGGGCUUUCGUGAUAUUAGUAGUUUUAACUUGGCUAUGCUGGCGAAGCAGUGCUGGAGACUGGUUGACAACUAUGUCUGACAAUGUGCUAGAGUGAUGAGGUCCAAAUAUUAUCCAGAUGGUGACUUGCUUAAUUGUGAACUCAAAAAAGGCUCCUCCUAUGUUUGGCAAAGUAUUUGGGCAGGAAUUCAAACCUUCAAAAAGGUUGUAUCUGGAGGUUGGAAAUGGUUUGAAAAUAAACAUAUGGUAAGAUUGUUGGAUCCCGAAUAG